GACGAACGCUGGCGGCGUGCUUAACACAUGCAAGUCGAACGGUAAGGCCCUUCGGGGUACACGAGUGGCGAACGGGUGAGUAACACGUGGGUGAUCUGCCCUGCACUUUGGGAUAAGCCUGGGAAACUGGGUCUAAUACCGGAUAGGACUUCUGGCUUCAUGGAUGGGGGUGGAAAGAUUUUGCGGUGUGGGAUGGGACCGCGGCCUAUCAGCUUGUUGGUGGGGUAAUGGCCUACCGAGGCGACGACGGGUAGCCGGCCUGAGAGGGUGACCGGUCACACUGGGACUGAGAGACGGCCCAGACUCCUACGGGAGGCAGCAGUGGGGAAUAUUGCACAAUGGGCGCAAGCCUGAUGCAGCGACGCCGCGUGAGGGAUGACGGCCUUCGGGUUGUAAACCUCUUUCAGCUAUGACGAAGCGCAAGUGACGGUAGUAGCAGAAGAAGGACCGGCCAACUACGUGCCAGCAGCCGCCGUAA
Molecule: ribosomal RNA, 478 nt
Filed under: uncultured bacterium
Lineage: Bacteria
Description: partial 16S ribosomal RNA
Rfam family: Bacterial small subunit ribosomal RNA
Source: RNAcentral